RNAcentral lists this ribosomal RNA (989 nucleotides) under uncultured bacterium. RNAcentral's name for it is "bacterial SSU rRNA". It matches the Rfam family "Bacterial small subunit ribosomal RNA", at positions 8 to 972 of the family's 1533-position model. The record is from RNAcentral.
AGAGUUUGAUCCUGGCUCAGAUUGAACGCUGGCGGCGUGCUUAACACAUGCAAGUCGAACGAGAAAGGGACUUCGGUCCUGAGUAGAGUGGCGCACGGGUGAGUAACGCGUAGGUAAUCUACCUCUGCAUCUGGGAUAACACUUCGAAAGGGGUGCUAAUACCGGAUACACUUAUGGAUCGCAAGGUCUAUAAGGAAAGGAGACCUCUCCUUGGAAGUUUCUGUGUAGAGAUGAGCCUGCGUCCCAUUAGCUAGUUGGCAGGGUAAUGGCCUACCAAGGCGACGAUGGGUAGCGGGUCUGAGAGGAUGAUCCGCCACACUGGAACUGAAACACGGACCAGACUCCUACGGGAGGCAGCAGUGAGGAAUAUUGGACAAUGGGCGCAAGCCUGAUCCAGCGACGCCGCGUGAGUGAUGAAGGCCUUUGGGUCGUAAAGCUCUGUCAGCAGGGAAGAACGGCCGUGUGGUUAAUACCCAUGCGGAUUGACGGUACCUGCAGAGGAAGCACCGGCUAACUCCGUGCCAGCAGCCGCGGUAAUACGGAGGGUGCGAGCGUUAAUCGGAAUUACUGGGCGUAAAGGGCGCGUAGGCGGCCGAUCAAGUCAGAUGUGAAAGCCCACGGCUUAACCGUGUGAAGUGCAUCUGAAACUGGUCGGCUUGAGUAUCGGAGAGGAAAGUGGAAUUCCCGGUGUAGAGGUGAAAUUCGUAGAUAUCGGGAGGAAUACCGGUGGCGAAGGCGACUUUCUGGACGAAUACUGACGCUGAGGCGCGAAAGCGUGGGGAGCAAACAGGAUUAGAUACCCUGGUAGUCCACAGCUGUAAACGAUGUGCACUAGAUGUGGGGAAGUGUUGACCUUUCCUGUGUCGCAGCUAACGCAUUAAGUGCACCGCCUGGGGAGUACGGCCGCAAGGUUAAAACUCAAAGGAAUUGACGGGGCCCGCACAAGCGGUGGAGUAUGUGGUUUAAUUCGACGCAACGCGCAGAACCUU